AGGAUAAACGCUGGCGGCGUGCCUAACACAUGCAAGUCGAACGUCUCUUCUUUCGGGAAGAGGAGUGGCGGACGGGUGAGGAACACGUGGGAACCUGCCCUUUAGUGAGGAAUACCGGCGAGAAAUCGCCGACAAGACCGCAUAGCCCUCUUUGAUGAGAGUCAAAGAAGGAAAGCUUCGCAAGAGGCGCUAGAGGAGGGGCCUGCGUCCGAUUAGCUAGUUGGUGGGGUAAGAGCCUACCAAGGCGUCGAUCGGUAGCUGGUCUGAGAGGACGAUCAGCCACACUGGGAUUGAGAACGGCCCAGACUCCUACGGGGGCAGCAGUGAGGAAUUUUCGGUAAUGGGGGAAACCCUGACCGAGCAACGCCGCGUGCAGGAAGACGGCCUUCGGGUUGUAAACUGCUUUUCGUCGGGGACGAGCAAGGACGGUACCCGAGGAAGAAGCCCCGGCUAACUACGCGCCAGCAGCCGC
This 472-nucleotide ribosomal RNA is filed under the name uncultured bacterium. Its description in RNAcentral is "SSU rRNA". It matches the Rfam family "Bacterial small subunit ribosomal RNA", at positions 26 to 518 of the family's 1533-position model. The record is from RNAcentral.